Molecule: ribosomal RNA, 1448 nt
Filed under: Salmonella enterica subsp. enterica serovar Give
Lineage: Bacteria; Pseudomonadati; Pseudomonadota; Gammaproteobacteria; Enterobacterales; Enterobacteriaceae
Description: partial 23S ribosomal RNA
Rfam family: Bacterial large subunit ribosomal RNA
Source: RNAcentral
CUGUAAGCCUGCGAAGGUGGCCUGUGAGGGUUGCUGGAGGUAUCAGAAGUGCGAAUGCUGACAUAAGUAACGAUAAAGCGGGUGAAAAGCCCGCUCGCCGGAAGACCAAGGGUUCCUGUCCAACGUUAAUCGGGGCAGGGUGAGUCGACCCCUAAGGCGAGGCCGAAAGGCGUAGUCGAUGGGAAACGGGUUAAUAUUCCCGUACUUGGUGUUACUGCGAAGGGGGGACGGAGAAGGCUAUGUUGGCCGGGCGACGGUUGUCCCGGUUUAAGCGUGUAGGUGUGUGUUCCAGGUAAAUCCGGUUCACUUUAACACUGAGGCGUGAUGACGAGGCACUACGGUGCUGAAGCAACAAAUGCCCUGCUUCCAGGAAAAGCCUCUAAGCAUCAGGUAACAUCAAAUCGUACCCCAAACCGACACAGGUGGUCAGGUAGAGAAUACCAAGGCGCUUGAGAGAACUCGGGUGAAGGAACUAGGCAAAAUGGUGCCGUAACUUCGGGAGAAGGCACGCUGACACGUAGGUGAAGUGAUUUACUCAUGGAGCUGAAGUCAGUCGAAGAUACCAGCUGGCUGCAACUGUUUAUUAAAAACACAGCACUGUGCAAACACGAAAGUGGACGUAUACGGUGUGACGCCUGCCCGGUGCCGGAAGGUUAAUUGAUGGGGUCAGCGCAAGCGAAGCUCCUGAUCGAAGCCCCGGUAAACGGCGGCCGUAACUAUAACGGUCCUAAGGUAGCGAAAUUCCUUGUCGGGUAAGUUCCGACCUGCACGAAUGGCGUAAUGAUGGCCAGGCUGUCUCCACCCGAGACUCAGUGAAAUUGAACUCGCUGUGAAGAUGCAGUGUACCCGCGGCAAGACGGAAAGACCCCGUGAACCUUUACUAUAGCUUGACACUGAACAUUGAGCCUUGAUGUGUAGGAUAGGUGGGAGGCUUUGAAGUGUGGACGCCAGUCUGCAUGGAGCCGGCCUUGAAAUACCACCCUUUAAUGUUUGAUGUUCUAACGUGGACCCGUGAUCCGGGUUGCGGACAGUGUCUGGUGGGUAGUUUGACUGGGGCGGUCUCCUCCUAAAGAGUAACGGAGGAGCACGAAGGUUGGCUAAUCCUGGUCGGACAUCAGGAGGUUAGUGCAAUGGCAUAAGCCAGCUUGACUGCGAGCGUGACGGCGCGAGCAGGUGCGAAAGCAGGUCAUAGUGAUCCGGUGGUUCUGAAUGGAAGGGCCAUCGCUCAACGGAUAAAAGGUACUCCGGGGAUAACAGGCUGAUACCGCCCAAGAGUUCAUAUCGACGGCGGUGUUUGGCACCUCGAUGUCGGCUCAUCACAUCCUGGGGCUGAAGUAGGUCCCAAGGGUAUGGCUGUUCGCCAUUUAAAGUGGUACGCGAGCUGGGUUUAGAACGUCGUGAGACAGUUCGGUCCCUAUCUGCCGUGGGCGCUGGAGAACUGAGGGGGG